AGCGAACGCUGGCGGCAGGCCUAACACAUGCAAGUCGAACGGACCCUUCGGGGUUAGUGGCGGACGGGUGAGUAACACGUGGGAACGUGCCUUUAGGUUCGGAAUAGCUCCUGGAAACGGGUGGUAAUGCCGAAUGUGCCCUUCGGGGGGAAGAUUUAUCGCCUAUAGAGCGGCCCGCGUCUGAUUAGCUAGUUGGUGAGGUAACGGCGCACCAAGGCGACGAUCAGUAGCUGGGCUGAGAGGAUGACCAGCCACACUGGGACUGAGACACGGCCCAGACUCCUACGGGAGGCAGCAGUGGGGAAUCUUGCGCAAUGGGCGAAAGCCUGACGCAGCCAUGCCGCGUGAAUGAUGAAGGUCUUAGGAUUGUAAAAUUCUUUCACCGGGGACGAUAAUGACGGUACCCGGAGAAGAAGCCCCGGCUAACUUCGUGCCAGCCGCCGCCGUAA
RNAcentral lists this ribosomal RNA (449 nucleotides) under uncultured bacterium. RNAcentral's name for it is "partial 16S ribosomal RNA". It matches the Rfam family "Bacterial small subunit ribosomal RNA", at positions 29 to 523 of the family's 1533-position model. The record is from RNAcentral.